UGCGUAGGCGGCCUUUCAAGUCAGGUGUAAAAUCUCCCGGCUCAACUGGGAGGGACCACUUGAUACUGUUGGGCUUGAGUACAGCAGAGGGAAGCGGAAUUCCCGGUGUAGUGGUGGAAUGCGUAGAUAUCGGGAGGAACACCAGUGGCGAAAGCGGCUUUCUGGGCUGUUACUGACGCUGUUGCACGAAAGCGUGGGGAGCAAACA
Molecule: ribosomal RNA, 207 nt
Filed under: uncultured bacterium
Lineage: Bacteria
Description: partial 16S ribosomal RNA
Rfam family: Bacterial small subunit ribosomal RNA
Source: RNAcentral